AGAGUUUGAUCAUGGCUCAGGAUGAACGCUGGCGGCGUGCUUAACACAUGCAAGUCGAACGGGCCUUAUAUUGAAAGAAGCUCCGGCAGAUGGAGAUAUAAGGUUAGUGGCGGACGGGUGAGUAACGCGUGGAGAACCUGCCCUGUACAGGGGGAUAACACCAGGAAACUGGUGCUAAAACCGCAUAAGCGCACGGUACCGCAUGGUACAGUGUGAAAAACCGAGGUGGUACAGGAUGGCUCCGCGUUGGAUUAGCCAGUUGGCGGGGUAACGGCCCACCAAAGCGACGAUCCAUAGCCGGCCUGAGAGGGUGGACGGCCACAUUGGGACUGAGACACGGCCCAGACUCCUACGGGAGGCAGCAGUGGGGAAUAUUGCACAAUGGGGGGAACCCUGAAUGCAGCGACGCCGCGUGAAGGAAGAAGUAUUUCGGUAUGUAAACUUCUAUCGGCAGGGAAGAAGGAAGACGGUACCUGCAGAAGAAGCCCCGGCUAACUACGUGCCAGCAGCCGC
This 513-nucleotide ribosomal RNA is filed under the name uncultured bacterium. Its description in RNAcentral is "bacterial SSU rRNA". It matches the Rfam family "Bacterial small subunit ribosomal RNA", at positions 8 to 518 of the family's 1533-position model. The record is from RNAcentral.